This 254-nucleotide ribosomal RNA is filed under the name uncultured bacterium. RNAcentral's name for it is "partial 16S ribosomal RNA". It matches the Rfam family "Bacterial small subunit ribosomal RNA", at positions 524 to 777 of the family's 1533-position model. The record is from RNAcentral.
UACGAAGGGGGCUAGCGUUGUUCGGAUUUACUGGGCGUAAAGCGCACGUAGGCGGAUCUUUAAGUCAGAGGUGAAAUCCCAAGGCUCAACCUUGGAACUGCCUUUGAUACUGGGGAUCUUGAGUCCGGGAGAGGUGAGUGGAACUGCGAGUGUAGAGGUGAAAUUCGUAGAUAUUCGCAAGAACACCAGUGGCGAAGGCGGCUCACUGGCCCGAUACUGACGCUGAGGCACGAAAGCGUGGGGAGCAAACAGGG